Molecule: transfer RNA, 77 nt
Filed under: Candidatus Saccharibacteria bacterium 32-49-12
Lineage: Bacteria; Candidatus Saccharimonadota
Also listed under: 2 other names
Description: tRNA-Met
Rfam family: tRNA
About the family: Transfer RNA (tRNA) molecules are approximately 80 nucleotides in length. Their secondary structure includes four short double-helical elements and three loops (D, anti-codon, and T loops).
Source: RNAcentral
GGCAGCGUAGCUCAGUUGGUUAGAGCGUAGGACUCAUAAGCCUAAGGUCACAAGUUCAAUCCUUGUCGCUGCUACCA